AUUAAAAUUCGCAUGACGAGGGCAAAAGAUGAAUUCUGUUUGAUGCGGAGCGACACUGUAGCCUAUAAACUAAACAUCAUGUCAGCUUCUCUGGUUGUGAAAAAACUGUCUGUAUCACCAGGUGUGAGAUUGGGGCACGCACAAGCAUUGCUCUGGACGCCAGCCAAAUACCCCAUCGACAGAGUAUGUGUGAAAAACGUCUCAAUUCCUGUAGGCUCACGUGUUUGUAAUCAAGAAAAGUCUUUUCAGCGUAUAAAGAGCACAAGUGUGUAUGGGGACACAGGAUGAAUGGAACUACUUUUGUUAUUGCACUUUUGAUGGAAAGUGACUUUCUAGAGAUAAAAUGUCACUUUUUUCACCUUAUCACACUUUCUCAGCUACUUUUACAUUUUAAUGUAAACAAUCAUAUUUCGUAAUAUUUCAGGUCAGAAACAUUUCAUAGUACUAUAUUAUGUGUAACUAUGUGAAAAAUAUCAUAUUGGAGUAGGUCGGGCAAUUGAUUAUAUGAGUUUGUUAGAAAAAUCACUUUCCUUUGCUCCUAGCGCCUUCUCAAUCGCUGUAUAGCGUUUUGAGCGGACAAAGAGCACAAGUGUGCAUGGGGACACUGGAUGAAUGGGAACUAGUUUUGUUAUUGCACAUUUGAUGAAAAGUGACUUUCUAGACAUAAAAUGUCACUUUUUUCACCUUAUCACACUGUAACAUCAACUUUUACAUUUUAAUGUAAACAAUCAUAUUUCGUAAUAUUUUAGGUCAGAAACAUUCCAUAGUACUAUAUUAUGUCUAAAUAUGUGAAAAGAAUCAAAUUGGAGUAGGUCGGGCAACUGAUUAUAUGAGUUUGUUAGAAAAACCACUUUCCUUUGCUCCUAGCGCCUUCUCGUUCGCUCUAUAGCGUUUUGAGCGGAUAAAGAGCACAAGUGUGCAUGGGGACACUGGAUGAAUGGGAAUUAGUUUUGUUAUUGCACUUUUGAUGAAAAAUGACUUUCUAGACAUAAAAUGUCACUUUUUUCACCUUAUCAUGCUUUUUCAUCAACUUUUGCAUUUUAAUGUAAACAAUCAUAUUUCGUAAUAUUUUGGGUCAGAAACAUGUCAUAGUACUAUAUUAUGUCUAAAUAUGUGAAAAGAAUCAAAUUGGAGUAGGUCGGGCAACUGAUUAUAUGAGUUUGUUAGAAAAACCACUUUCCUUUGCUCCUAGCGCCUUCUCGUUGGCUCUAUAGCGUUUUGAGCGGAUAAAGAGCACAAGUGUGCAUGGGGACACUGGAUGAAUGGGAAUUAGUUUUGUUAUUGCACUUUUGAUGAAAAAUGACUUUCUAGACAUAAAAUGUCACUUUUUUCACCUUAUCAUGCUUUUUCAUCAACUUUUGCAUUUUAAUGUAAACAAUCAUAUUUCGUAAUAUUUUGGGUCAGAAACAUGUCAUAGUACUAUAUUAUGUCUAAAUAUGUGAAAAGAAUCAAAUUGGAGUAAGUCGGACAAAUGAUUAUAUGAGUUUGUUAGAAAAACCACUUUCCUUUGCUCCUAGCGCCUUCUCGCUCGCUCUAUAGCGUUUUGAGCGGAUAAAGAGCACAAGUGUGCAUGGGGACACUGGAUGAAUGGGAAUUAGUUUUGUUAUUGCACUUUUGAUGAAAAGAGACUUUCUAGACAUAAAAUGUCACUUUUUUCACCUUAUCAUGCUUUUUCAUCAACUUUUGCAUUUUAAUGUAAACAAUCAUAUUUCGUAAUAUUUUGGGUCAGAAACAUUUCAUAGUACUAUAUUAUGUCUAAAUAUGUGAAAAGAAUCAAAUUGGAGUAAGUCGGGCAACUGAUUAUAUGAGUUUGUUAGAAAAACCACUUUCCUUUGCUCCUAGCGCCUUCUCGUUCGCUCUAUAGCGUUUUGAGCGGAUAAAGAGCACAAGUGUGCAUGGGGACACGAUGAAUGGGAAUUAGUUUUGUUAUUGCACUUUUGAUGAAAAAUGACUUUCUAGACAUAAAAUGUCACUUUUUUCACCUUAUCAUACUUUUUCAUCAACUUUUGCAUUUUAAUGUAAACAAUCAUAUUUCGUAAUAUUUUGGGUCAGAAACAUUUCAUAGUACUAUAUUAUGUCUAAAUAUGUGAAAAGAAUCAAAUUGGAGUAAGUCGGACAACUGAUUAUAUGAGUUUGUUAGAAAAACCACUUUCCUUUGCUCCUAGCGCCUUCUCGUUCGCUCUAUAGCGUUUUGAGCGGAUAAAGAGCACAAGUGU
Long non-coding RNA from Ictalurus punctatus (channel catfish), 2216 nucleotides. Lineage: Eukaryota; Metazoa; Chordata; Actinopteri; Siluriformes; Ictaluridae. The record is from Ensembl.